This 427-nucleotide ribosomal RNA is filed under the name uncultured bacterium. RNAcentral describes it as "bacterial SSU rRNA". It matches the Rfam family "Bacterial small subunit ribosomal RNA", at positions 355 to 773 of the family's 1533-position model. The record is from RNAcentral.
UAGGGAAUUGUUCGCAAUGGGCGCAAGCCUGUCGACGCAACGCCGCGUGGAGGAUGAAGACUUUCGGGUCGUAAACUCCUUUCGAUCGAGAUGAAAACUUGCCGGUCCAAUACACCGGCAAGCUGACAGUAUCGGCAGAAGAAGCCCCGGCUAACUCCGUGCCAGCAGCCGCGGUAAUACGGGGGGGGCAAGCGUUGUUCGGAAUUACUGGGCGUAAAGGGUUCGUAGGUGGCCUGCUAAGUCCGACGUGAAAUCCCUCAGCUCAACUGGGGAACUGCGUCUGAGACUGGUAGGCUUGAGUGCAGGAGAGGAACGCGGAAUUCCAGGUGUAGCGGUGAAAUGCGUAGAUAUCUGGAGGAACACCGGUGGCGAAGGCGGCGUUCUGGACUGCUACUGACACUGAGGAACGAAAGCCAGGGGAGCAAGC